Molecule: non-coding RNA, 644 nt
Organism: Prunus avium (sweet cherry)
Lineage: Eukaryota; Viridiplantae; Streptophyta; Magnoliopsida; Rosales; Rosaceae
Source: RefSeq, a predicted model, not a curated record
UUGACUUGAGAGAGAAUUUAGAGGAAGACAAAUGUAAUACGGAAGAACAAUUCUUAAAGCUCAACGAUAGGAUAGAAAUAUUAUAUACAGCUUUACCUUUUUCAAAUUUUAUUUGUGAAGAUUCCAAUUAUUUCCUUUAUUCAUUCACCCUCCCUGAUUGAUAAUGUGUGGCUGUAGGAAGGUAAAUUUAUUUGUUGCUCAAUUGCCCUAAACUAAUAUUGUAUCUUUUGUAGCUCUGAGAUGUCUAAGGAUCAAAUGGUUGUAGAUCUUACAUCACGCACAAAAGUACUAUUCUGGAGUGGGAUUUUUCUUGGUUCAGUGUCAAUUGGAGUCCUUGCCUAUGCUGUUUCCAGGCUGGUGUGAGGGACAACUUCGUAUAAUACUGAAGUUUUGAAAUGACGUCACCAUCAAAGAAAAUAAAGGAAACAUUGUAUAUGAAGGGGACGGAGGAGUUGCAGGUGGCGCUGCAGAGUAUUCCUUUAAUGGUGAUUAUUUUUGGGGAUUUAGUAGCACUGGAGACUUCAUGGAUGACAAUGAUUUCCAAAAUACACGUUACUCUGUAUCUCUGGCAUCUUCAAAUCUCUCUGAUUUAUACACGACAGCACGCAUAUCCCCAAUUUCAAUCACAUAUUUCCAUUAUUGCU